Molecule: ribosomal RNA, 638 nt
Filed under: uncultured bacterium
Lineage: Bacteria
Description: bacterial SSU rRNA
Rfam family: Bacterial small subunit ribosomal RNA
Source: RNAcentral
UGGUUUCUAGUGGCGGACGGGUGAGUAACGCGUGGGUAACCUGCCUUAUACAGGGGGAUAACAGUCAGAAAUGACUGCUAAUACCGCAUAAGCGCACAGGACCGCAUGGUCCGGUGUGAAAAACUCCGGUGGUAUAAGAUGGACCCGCGUUGGAUUAGCUUGUUGGUGGGGUAACGGCUCACCAAGGCGACGAUCCAUAGCCGGCCUGAGAGGGUGAACGGCCACAUUGGGACUGAGACACGGCCCAGACUCCUACGGGAGGCAGCAGUGGGGAAUAUUGCACAAUGGGGGAAACCCUGAUGCAGCGACGCCGCGUGAAGGAAGAAGUAUCUCGGUAUGUAAACUUCUAUCAGCAGGGAAGAUAGUGACGGUACCUGACUAAGAAGCCCCGGCUAACUACGUGCCAGCAGCCGCGGUAAUACGUAGGGGGCAAGCGUUAUCCGGAUUUACUGGGUGUAAAGGGAGCGUAGACGGACUGGCAAGUCUGAUGUGAAAGGCGGGGGCUCAACCCCUGGACUGCAUUGGAAACUGUUAGUCUUGAGUGCCGGAGAGGUAAGCGGAAUUCCUAGUGUAGCGGUGAAAUGCGUAGAUAUUAGGAGGAACACCAGUGGCGAAGGCGGCUUACUGGACGGUAACUG